UACGUAGGUGGCAAGCGUUAUCCGGAUUUACUGGGUGUAAAGGGGGCGCAGACGGCAGUGCAAGUCUGGAGUGAAAGCCCGGGGCCCAACCCCGGGACUGCUCUGGAAACUGUACGGCUAGAGUACGGGAGGGGCAGGCGGAAUUCCUAGUGUAGCGGUGAAAUGCGUAGAUAUUAGGAGGAACACCGGCGGCGAAGGCGGCCUGCUGGACCGAAACUGACGUUGAGGCUCGAAAGCGUGGGGAGCAAACAGG
RNAcentral lists this ribosomal RNA (253 nucleotides) under uncultured bacterium. RNAcentral's name for it is "partial 16S ribosomal RNA". It matches the Rfam family "Bacterial small subunit ribosomal RNA", at positions 524 to 776 of the family's 1533-position model. The record is from RNAcentral.